Molecule: ribosomal RNA, 685 nt
Filed under: fungal sp.
Lineage: Eukaryota; Fungi
Description: partial 18S ribosomal RNA
Rfam family: 5.8S ribosomal RNA (bases 251-404)
Source: RNAcentral
GUAGAAUGCGUAUGUGCACGGCCUUCGCGCUCAAAUCCACUCAACCACUGUGCACCUAUAUCUGGUCGAAGUGAGUAAUCCGGGUCGUUUUGGGACGGAGUAAGAGAGUAGAAGGGAAGUCCGUUUUCUCGGCUUCCGUUUGAAAAGUGAAAAAUGUCUUGCCUCGGGUGGAAAUCUUUUGGCUUGCUUUUUUAUAAACCACAUUUGUUGUCUUGUGAAUGUGAUGCUCCUUGUGGGCGAGAAUAAAUACAACUUUCAACAACGGAUCUCUUGGCUCUCGCAUCGAUGAAGAACGCAGCGAAAUGCGAUAAGUAAUGUGAAUUGCAGAAUUCAGUGAAUCAUCGAAUCUUUGAACGCACCUUGCGCCCCUUGGUAUUCCGAGGGGCAUGCCUGUUUGAGUGUCAUGUUAAUCUCAAAUCGCAUGUCUUUGUUAAUCCAAAGGCUUGUGGUUUGGACCUGGAGGCUUUGCUGGCUUCGGUCGGCUCCUCUCAAAUGCAUUAGCUAGGCUUUGGCUUGCGUUUACGGUGUAAUAGUGUAAACCCUUUCGCCAGAACGCUUGCCUGACGGGUCUGCUUCUAAUCGUCCUCGUAUGGGACAAGGCCUCUGGCCUUCUUGACUACUUUGACCUCAAAUCAGGUAGGACUACCCGCUGAACUUUAAGCAUAUCAAUAAGCAGGAAGGAAUA